RNAcentral lists this unclassified non-coding RNA (2963 nucleotides) under Helicoverpa zea (corn earworm). Its description in RNAcentral is "protein turtle, transcript variant X7". Lineage: Eukaryota; Metazoa; Arthropoda; Insecta; Lepidoptera; Noctuidae. The record is from RNAcentral.
GCCCGCGCCCUCGCCGCCGCAGCACCGUGCGCGCGACGCAGCUCCUACACGCACGACGCACUCUCAUACUAAUAACAAUGAAUUCCCACAUCGGCCCCCUCGCAGCUGUGCUACUAUAAUAGUUUAUGUGAUCGCCACCGGCCCAGUGCUCUCCCGGCCGCGAGACCGGUCCAGAUCGGGAAGCUGCGCCGGCCUCACGCCCGACUACAGUGGAAUGCGGCAAUUUUAACUACUGCGGACCCCGGGGACCCAUAUAAGAAUAGGGAUCGAACGAUUACAAUCCCAGCCGUAAGAGCGAGGCGCCUGGCGGUGGUCGGAUGCAGCUCGCACUGGUGAUGCAUCAACGAUGAGUCGCCGCGCGCGGCCGUGACAUGGGAGCGCAGGCAUGGGCUGGCGCGCCGUGCAACCGCCGCACAUCGCCGCCGGCUUGCUCCUACUGCUGCUAGUUAACCUGCCAGUAACCUGCCACCAAGACCACCAAGAUGCUGUGCACAUCACGGCGAUCCUCGGCGAGAGCGUGGUGUUCAACUGCCAGGUGGACUUCCCGGAAGACAUCCCGGUGCCGUACGUGUUGCAGUGGGAGAAGAAGGUAGGCGAAACGGGACAGGACAUCCCGAUCUACAUCUGGUACGAGAGCUACCCGACGCACAGCGGCGAGGGCUACGAGGGCAGGGUGUCGCGCGUGGCGCCCGACUCGCCCUACGGCGCGGCCAGCCUCAACCUCACCAAUAUCCGCGAGUCUGACCAGGGUUGGUACGAGUGUAAGGUGGUGUUCCUCAACCGGUCACCCAACCAGCACAAGAAUGGCACAUGGUUCCACUUGGACGUGCACGCGCCACCACGCUUCUCCAUCACACCGGAAGACAUUAUUUACGUUAAUUUAGGAGACGCCAUAAUCCUCAACUGCCAAGCGGAGGGCACGCCGACGCCCGAGAUCCUGUGGUACAAGGACGCGAACCCCGUGGAGCCGUCCGGCACGGUGGGCAUCUUCAACGACGGCACGGAGCUGCGGAUCAGCAACAUUCGCCACGAGGACAUCGGCGACUAUACGUGCAUCGCGCGCAAUGGCGAGGGACAGGUCUCGCAUACCGCGAGGGUCAUUAUUGCUGGAGGAGCUGUUAUUACUAUGCCGCCAACGAAUCAAACAAAGUUAGAAGGAGAGAAGGUGCAGUUCUCAUGUGAAGCGAAGGCGUUGCCGGGCAACGUAACGGUGAAGUGGUUCCGCGAGGGUGCUCCGGUGGCCGAGGUCGCAGCCCUGGAGACACGCGUCACUAUCCGGAGAGAUGGGGCUCUGGUCAUCAACCCGGUGGCGGCAGAUGACUCGGGACAGUAUCUGUGUGAAGUGUCCAACGGGAUCGGAGACCCUCAAAGUGCUUCGGCCUAUUUGAAUGUUGAAUAUCCAGCGAAAGUUACGUUUACUCCAACCGUGCAGUACCUCCCAUUCCGUCUGGCGGGUGUCGUGCAGUGCUACAUAAAGGCCAACCCUCCCCUCCAAUACGUGACCUGGACGAAGGACAAGCGGCUGCUGGAGCCGUACCAGACAAAGGACAUCGUCAUCAUGAACAACGGCUCCUUGCUCUUCACGCGGGUCAACCAGAACCAUCAGGGUCGCUAUACUUGUACACCUUAUAACGCGCAGGGAACCCAAGGCUCUUCUGGUCCGAUGGAAGUGUUAGUUCGUAAACCACCAGUGUUCACAGUGGAACCGGAACCCCUGUACCAAAGAAAGGUGGGCGAGUCAGUGGAGAUGCACUGCGAGGCGCAGGAGGCGGAGGGCACGCAGCGGCCGUCGGUGCUGUGGCGGCGGCGCGACGGGCUGCCGCUGCAGAAGGCGCGCGUGCGGGCGCUGGGCGGCAACAUCACCAUCGACACGCUGCGCCGCCAGGACUUCGGCAUCUACCAGUGCGUCGCCUCCAACGAGGUGGCAACGAUAGUAGCGGACACGCAGCUGGUGAUCGAGGGCACGCAGCCGCACGCGCCGUACAACGUGUCGGGCACGGCCACCGAGUUCCAGGUGACGCUGCGCUGGCAGCCGGGCUACGCGGGCGGGCCCGACUACAAGCAGGACUACACCAUCUGGUACCGCGAGGCCGGCUUCUCCGAGUGGACUAAGGUGCCCGUCACGCCCUCCGGUGCUACCUCUGUCACAAUAAACCGGCUGCAGCCUGGCACCACGUAUGAGUUUCAAGUGAACAGCAAGAAUACAAUAGGAGAAGGAAUGAUGAGUAAAGCUAUUACGAUAAGAACUCUCGAUGUAGGCGCCAAACCGAAGGCGGCACCGACCCCGGCGGGGCCUGUAGACGAAAAGAUAUUCCAAAACGCACCCGAAGGCUCUGGUCCGAAGUCUGGUCCUCCUCGGAACCUGACAGUGACGGAGGUGCACAACGGGUUCCUGAUCACGUGGCAGGCGCCGUUAGAGCGCUCGCACCUGGUGCAGUACUACACCAUCAAGUACCGCACCGACGCGCAGUGGAAGACCCUCAACCGAGGACAGAUACGCCCUGAGGAGACCAGCUAUUUGGUAAAAAAUCUAGUGGGUGGUCGUACAUAUUACUUCCGCGUGCUCGCCAACUCAGCGACGAGCUACGAGAGUUCCGAGGAAGUGAAGUUCCCGGUGCCGGCGCGGGUGAAGCACAAAGCCAUCACGGCGGGCGUGGUGGGCGGGAUCCUGUUCUUCAUCGUCGCCAUCAUCCUGUCGGUGUGCGCCGUCAAGAUCUGCAACAAGCGCAAGCGACGCAAGCAGGAGAAAGAAAUUAUUCGAUUGCAGCAUACAACAUGGUAGCCGCGCGACUGACAGACCUCCGCGCCGCUGAUAGCACUCAAGUGCCUUUUAAGAAAUUUAGAGAACGCGGAAUAUCGAGUAUAGUGCAGUGUUUGCGGUUUACUGCUAACUGGGUGUGGCCGGCGUCGCGCUGCGGCGGCGAGGCGCGCUACUGGGUGUCGGUGCGGCGCGUGUCGCCCGC